GUUGGCUUGGAAGCAGCCAUUCAUUUAAAGAGUGCGUAACAGCUCACUAGUCGAGGAGUUUGGCGUGGAUAAUAAUCGGGCAUCAAGUAUUUUACCGAAGCUAUGGGAUCAUUAAUGAUCGGUAGGGGAGCAUUCCACUCCGCGUCGAAGGUGAAGCGUGAGCUUUGCUGGAGCGUGUGGAAAAGCAAAUGUAGGUAUAAGUAACGAUAAAGGGGGUGAGAAACCCCCUCGCCGAAAGACUAAGGUUUCCUGAUCAACGCUAAUCGGAUCAGGGUAAGUCGGGUCCUAAGGCUCAGCCGAAGGGCGAUGCCGAUGGCAGAAACGGUUAAUAUUCCGUUACUACCUCCAGGAGUGAUGUGGAGACGCAGUAGUGACAAUGCCGCCAUCUGACGGAAUAGAUGGUUGAAGGGUGUAGAUGUUGAUCUUGGCAGGCAAAUCCACCAUGAGAAUCGAACCUGAUAGUAUGCCGCGUCCCUCGGGACAAGGCAAUAGUGCAUGUAAUCAUGCUGCCAAGAAAAUCCGCUAAACAAAAUCCUGUAGGUACCCGUACCGUAAACGGACACACGUAGUCGGGAUGAAUAUUCUAAGGCGCUUGAGUGAUUCACGGUUAAGGAACUAGGCAAACUGACCCUGUAACUUCGGGAUAAAGGGUCCCUACCCGGUGACGGGAGGGCGCAGAGAAUAGGUCCAGGCAACUGUUUAACAAAAACACAGGGCUGUGCUAAAUCGAAAGAUCCUGUAUACAGCCUGACACCUGCCCGGUGCUGGAAGGUUAAGAGGAGACGUCAUCGUUGAGAGAAGCGUUGAAUUGAAGCCCCAGUAAACGGCGGCCGUAACUAUAACGGUCCUAAGGUAGCGAAAUUCCUUGUCGGGUAAGUUCCGACCUGCACGAAUGGUGUAAUGAUCUGGACGCUGUCUCAACCGUGAGCUCAGUGAAAUUGUAGUAUCGGUGAAGAUGCCGAUUACCCGCGAUGGGACGAAAAGACCCCGUGAACCUUUACUAUAGCUUAACAUUGAAUUUGGGUAAUUGAUGUGUAGGAUAGGCCGGAGGCUUCGAAGCAGGUACGCCAGUAUUUGUGGAGCCGCUGUUGAAAUACGGCCCUUUGAUUAUUUGAGUUCUAACCCGCGGCUGCGGGGACACUGUUUGGUGGGUAGUUUGACUGGGGUGGUCGCCUCCAAAAGCGUAACGGAGGCUUCUA
Molecule: ribosomal RNA, 1199 nt
Filed under: human gut metagenome
Description: bacterial LSU rRNA
Rfam family: Bacterial large subunit ribosomal RNA
Source: RNAcentral